This 468-nucleotide ribosomal RNA is filed under the name uncultured bacterium. RNAcentral describes it as "partial 16S ribosomal RNA". It matches the Rfam family "Bacterial small subunit ribosomal RNA", at positions 38 to 507 of the family's 1533-position model. The record is from RNAcentral.
GAAGAAAGAGGGAGGAGGGAGGAACACAUGCAAGUCGAACGGAAAGGCCCUGCUUUUGUGGGGUGCUCGAGUGGCGAACGGGUGAGUAACACGUGAGUAACCUGCCCUUGACUUUGGGAUAACUUCAGGAAACUGGGGCUAAUACCGGAUAGGAGCUCCUGCUGCAUGGUGGGGGUUGGAAAGUUUCGGCGGUUGGGGAUGGACUCGCGGCUUAUCAGCUUGUUGGUGGGGUAGUGGCUUACCAAGGCUUUGACGGGUAGCCGGCCUGAGAGGGUGACCGGCCACAUUGGGACUGAGAUACGGCCCAGACUCCUACGGGAGGCAGCAGUGGGGAAUAUUGCACAAUGGGCGGAAGCCUGAUGCAGCAACGCCGCGUGCGGGAUGACGGCCUUCGGGUUGUAAACCGCUUUCGCCUGUGACGAAGCGUGAGUGACGGUAAUGGGUAAAGAAGCACCGGCUAACUACGUG